GGUGUCUGCAGGCGCGUGCUGCUGAUUUGGUCAGAGCCACUGCGCUUUGAGCGGGCUCGCCUGCGCUUUCCCCUCGGUAUUUCUUGCCGGGAUUGCUGCCCGCCUUUGGCUUUGUGUUCUCUGUGUUCUGGGGCCCGGAAAUUCUGCCUGAAGGAGGCUGAUCUCACCUCUGCGGGGGCAGACGCGAGGUGGAGUUAGCGACUUGGGGCUGGCGCAGAACGAUCUGAAGAGACUUCCUGGAUGUGGAGUGGCCACCUUUGUUUUGUUCCGAGUUUGUUGCAACCAUGUUUGGGAGAUUGACUCUUCCACAACUGCUUUUUGCUAGCAUCGUUGGAAUUGCUGGAGGAAUAUAUAUUUAUCAACCAAUAUAUGAGCAGUAUUCUAGAAAUCAGAAGGAAUUAAAAGAAAAGUUGAAAUUGGCACAAGAAUCAGAAGAGAAGAAAGCUGACUAGUAAGGGGAUCCAAAGA
Galeopterus variegatus (Sunda flying lemur) is the source of this 468-nucleotide long non-coding RNA. RefSeq lists it as uncharacterized. The record is from RefSeq and is a predicted model, not a curated record. NCBI's taxonomy places the organism in Eukaryota, Metazoa, Chordata, Mammalia, Dermoptera, Cynocephalidae. The transcript has 3 exons.